AACGAACGCUGGCGGCAUGCCUAACACAUGCAAGUCGAACGAGACCUUCGGGUCUAGUGGCGCACGGGUGCGUAACGCCUGGGAACCUGCCCUUAGGUUCGGAAUAACUCCCCGAAAGGGGUGCUAAUACCGGAUAAUGUCUUCGGACCAAAGAUUUUUCGCCUUUGGAUGGGCCCGCGUUGGAUUAGCGAGUUGGUAGGGUAAAAGCCUACCAAGGCGACGAUCCAUAGCUGGUCUGAGAAGAUGAUCAGACACACUGGGACUGAGACACGGCCCAGACUCCUACGGGAGGCAGCAGUGGGGAAUAUUGUACACUGGGCGAAAGCCUGAUACAGCAAUGCCGCGUGAGUGAGGAAGGCCUUAGGGUUGUAAAGCUCUUUUACCCGGGAUGAUAAUGACAGUACCGGGAGAAUAAGCUCCGGCUAACUCCGUG
RNAcentral lists this ribosomal RNA (433 nucleotides) under uncultured bacterium. RNAcentral's name for it is "partial 16S ribosomal RNA". It matches the Rfam family "Bacterial small subunit ribosomal RNA", at positions 29 to 507 of the family's 1533-position model. The record is from RNAcentral.